AGGUGCGCUGGUCAUGGUGUCUGUUCACAGCAGUAAAACCCUAAUUACAACACUUACAAUUAUAUUAGUAACAUUUAAUAUUUUUUAAAAUCUUCAAAGUAAAUAUGAAUGUGGUAUACAUGACAUUUGCAUAUUACAAAAUUCACAAAUCUUCUAAAUGAUGUCUUGCAUUGUCAUGCUAUAGAAUUAAACCCCAAUUCAAAAUGAGGCAUGCUUCUGUGAUAUUUAUGUGUGGGUUGACUCCCUGGAACUUUCAUUUUUUAAGUUGGUUACUCUGUGGUGCUUACUUAACACACAAUCUUCCUGCCUGAGCCUUCCAAAUGCUGUGGUCAAAUUGGUGAUCAACACGUUUAUAUCUGUUCAGUAUGUUUUCUCUGAAAUGCUAGGGUUUAGAACGUUUUCUGAGUAUGGAAUUUUAACUCUUGCAUCUAUAUCAGAAAUCUUGAGGGGGUUCUGAGAAUGAACAUGAAAUCCAUUUGUUAAUUGUAUACAUAACCUAAAGUUAGAUUUGUUUGCUACUUUAAUACAUUUCCAAUUUCAUUAUGAGGUAAGACAUGGCCUUUUCUACCAAAUGACAUCUGAGCAUUUUAAAAUUCUUAAUUCUGAAUUUUACAUUAGGGAACUUCAAUCUAUGUUCUUUUCUGUUUUAUAAGAUGCAUAUGUAUACACAUCUGUUUUGUAUAUGUGUUUGUAUAUAAACUUUUCUGUUUGAGUCAUUAACAAUGAAGGUGUAAUAUCUAUGCUCUAGUUUUAUACUACCAGUUUCAUAAUAUUUUUCUUUUUGUGUACGCUGUGUGUGUGUGUGUGUGUGUGUGUGUGUGUGUGUGUGUACGCACGUGUGUGCACAUGUACACGGUCACCCACACAAGCAAGCAUGUAUGUAUACAUGUUUGCCUCUACAUGUGAAGUUGGGUGAAUUCUUCAACUACUUUUUAGCUUAGUUUUUUAGUCAGGGUUUCCCACUGAAUCUGAGAUUCAUAGUCAUCUCAGUUCGCUGACCAAUGAGUUCUAGAGAAUUCUCCUGUCUCUAUAACUGUAGCCUGGGAAUUAUAGAUAUACAUCAUGGUAUCUUGCUUUAAUUUUUCUGAUUAUUUUUAGAUUUAUUUAUUUUGUGUAUAUGAGUAUAUUGUAGGUGUUUUCUUACACACCAGAAAAGGGCAUUGCAUCUCUUUAAAGAUAAUUGUCAGCCACAAAGUGGUUGCUGGGAAUUGAACUCUGGACCUCUGGAAGAGCAGUCAGUGCUCUU
RNAcentral lists this long non-coding RNA (1246 nucleotides) under Mus musculus (house mouse). Its description in RNAcentral is "long non-coding RNA chr4:70996025-70997271". Lineage: Eukaryota; Metazoa; Chordata; Mammalia; Rodentia; Muridae. The record is from RNAcentral.